CCUUGUUGAGCAUGACGUAAGAGCGGCCGGCGUAGCCGAUCCAGCCGGCGACGUAGAGGAAGCCGAGGCCGGGGAUGGCGAACUCGCCGAGGUGCUCGAGGUUACCGUCCACGAUCAGGUGGGGCAGGCCGUCGGCGCCGCAGAGGAGGCCAGCCUCGCCGUAGUUCUUGAAGCGCUGGGACGUCUUGUCCAUGGUCGCCUUGAGAGCGAGCGCGGGGGCAGACUCGGGGUCGUACUUCUUGAGGCGCUUCUCGAGAGCCUUGAUCUCCUGCUUCUCGCGCUUGGCGAACGCCUU
RNAcentral lists this long non-coding RNA (295 nucleotides) under Micromonas commoda. RNAcentral describes it as "long non-coding RNA (MCOM_LNC000229)". The record is from RNAcentral. Lineage: Eukaryota; Viridiplantae; Chlorophyta; Mamiellophyceae; Mamiellales; Mamiellaceae.